RNAcentral lists this ribosomal RNA (498 nucleotides) under uncultured bacterium. RNAcentral describes it as "partial 16S ribosomal RNA". It matches the Rfam family "Bacterial small subunit ribosomal RNA", at positions 28 to 507 of the family's 1533-position model. The record is from RNAcentral.
GACGAACGCUGGCGGCAUGCCUAAUACAUGCAAGUUGAACGAUGAUAUUCUCUGCUUGCAGAGAAUUGAAGAGUAGCGAACGGGUGAGUAACACGUGGGGAACCUGCCCAUGAGAGGGGGAUAACAUUCGGAAACGGAUGCUAAUACCGCAUAAUGCUUUGGACCGCCUGGUCCAGAGACGAAAGACGGCUUUUGCUGUCACUCAUGGAUGGCCCCGCGCCGUAUUAGCUAGUUGGUGAGGUAAUGGCUCACCAAAGCUGUGAUACGUAGCCGACCUGAGAGGGUGAUCGGCCACACUGGGACUGCGACACGGCCCAGACUCCUACGGGAGGCAGCAGUAGGGAAUCUUCCACAAUGGGCGAAAGCCUGAUGGAGCAAUGCCGCGUGAAUGAAGAAGGUCUUCGGAUCGUAAAGUUCUGUUAUUAGAGAAGAACAAGUCAAGGAGUAACUGUCUUGACUUUGACGGUACCUAACCAGAAAGUCACGGCUAACUACGUG